RNAcentral lists this ribosomal RNA (413 nucleotides) under uncultured eukaryote. RNAcentral's name for it is "SSU rRNA". It matches the Rfam family "Eukaryotic small subunit ribosomal RNA", at positions 567 to 972 of the family's 1831-position model. The record is from RNAcentral.
CCAGCAGCUGCGGUAAUUCCAGCUCCAAUAGUGUAUAUUAAUGUUGUUGUGGUUAAAAAGCUCGUAGUUGGAUCUCGGCGAUGGAAGCCGGGCGGUCUGCAUUGCUGCAGCCACUGCUCUGGUUUCUUCGUAUUUUAUCGUUGGAGGGGGCCGGUGAUCUUGAUCGGUCGUCGGCCCUGGGUCAGCAGUUUUACUUUGAAAAAAUUAGGGUGCUCAAAGCAGGCUGUUGACAGCUUGAAUAUUCGUGCAUGGAAUAAUGGAAUAGGAGGCCGUUCCUAUUUUGUUGGUUAGAAGAGACGGCUUAAUGAUUAACGGGGACUGCUCGGGGGCAUUUGUAUUCAGGCGCUAGAGGUGAAAUUCUUGGACCGCCUGAAGACAAACUACUGCGAAAGCAUUUGCCAAGGAUGUUUCCA